GAGAAGAACGUAGCGAAAUGCGAUACGUAAUGUGAAUUGCAGAAUUCAGUGAAUCAUCGAGUCUUUGAACGCACAUUGCGCCCCCUGGUAUUCCGGGGGGCAUGCCUGUCCGAGCGUCAUUGCUGCCCUCAAGCACGGCUUGUGUGUUGGGCCUCCGUCCUCCUCCCGGGGGACGGGCCCGAAAGGCAGCGGCGGCACCGCGUCCGGUCCUCGAGCGUAUGGGGCUUCGUCACCCGCUCUUGUAGGCCCGGCCGGCGCUUGCCGACACAUCAAUCUUUUUUCCAGGUGACCUCGGAUCAGGUAGGGAUACCCGCUGAACUUAAGCAUAUCAAUAAGCGGAGGA
Molecule: unclassified non-coding RNA, 343 nt
Filed under: soil metagenome
Description: partial contains 5.8S ribosomal RNA, internal transcribed spacer 2, and large subunit ribosomal RNA
Rfam family: 5.8S ribosomal RNA (bases 3-119)
Source: RNAcentral